Molecule: ribosomal RNA, 253 nt
Filed under: uncultured bacterium
Lineage: Bacteria
Description: partial 16S ribosomal RNA
Rfam family: Bacterial small subunit ribosomal RNA
Source: RNAcentral
UACGAAGGGGGCUAGCGUUGUUCGGAAUUACUGGGCGUAAAGCGUGCGCAGGCGGCUUCUCAAGUCAGGGGUGAAAGCCCAGAGCUCAACUCUGGAAUUGCCUUUGAGACUGAGUGGCUUGAGUACGAGAGAGGUGAGUGGAAUUCCCAGUGUAGAGGUGAAAUUCGUAGAUAUCGGAAGGAACACCAGUGGCGAAAGCGGCUUCCUGGUCCAGCACCGACGUUCAGGCACGAAAGCGUGGGGAGCAAACAGG